Molecule: unclassified non-coding RNA, 327 nt
Filed under: uncultured Ascobolus
Lineage: Eukaryota; Fungi; Ascomycota; Pezizomycetes; Pezizales; Ascobolaceae
Description: sequence contains ITS1
Rfam family: 5.8S ribosomal RNA (bases 1-105)
Source: RNAcentral
GAAAUGCGAUAAGUAAUGUGAAUUGCAGAUUUCAGUGGAUCAUCGAAUCUUUGAACGCACAUUGCGCCCUUUGGUAUUCCGAAGGGCAUGCCUGUCUGAGCGUCAAAAGUCAAUCAAACGUCAGUUUGGUAUUGGAAGACGAGGUUGCCCGAACGUUAAAACGGCGGCUUCCCUUCCGCAAGGCAUCGGCGGCGUAGGCCCCGGUCAGCGAGACGUGGUAAUAUUAUUUUUGCAUCGUCUGAGUCGGCCGGCGGCGAUGGCUUGCCGCAAACCCCAACGCACACUGAGCUUGACCUCAGAUCAGGUAGGGAAACCCCCUGAACUUAA